Molecule: ribosomal RNA, 338 nt
Filed under: Muribaculaceae bacterium Isolate-002 (NCI)
Lineage: Bacteria; Pseudomonadati; Bacteroidota; Bacteroidia; Bacteroidales; Muribaculaceae
Description: bacterial SSU rRNA
Rfam family: Bacterial small subunit ribosomal RNA
Source: RNAcentral
CAACAACGAAGAGUUUGAUCCUGGCUCAGGAUGAACGCUAGCGACAGGCUUAACACAUGCAAGUCGAGGGGCAGCGGGAUUGAAGCUUGCUUCAAUUGCCGGCGACCGGCGCACGGGUGAGUAACACGUAUGCAACCUGCCCGUCACAGGGGAAUAACCGGAAGAAAUUCCGACUAAUUCCGCGUAACACCUUUGUAAGGCAUCUUAUAGAGGUCAAAGGAGCAAUCCGGUGGCGGAUGGGCAUGCGGCGCAUUAGCUAGUCGGCGGGGUAACGGCCCACCGAGGCGACGAUGCGUAGGGGUUCUGAGAGGAAGGUCCCCCACACUGGUACUGAGACA